Molecule: ribosomal RNA, 427 nt
Filed under: uncultured bacterium
Lineage: Bacteria
Description: bacterial SSU rRNA
Rfam family: Bacterial small subunit ribosomal RNA
Source: RNAcentral
UGGGGAAUUGUUCGCAAUGGGCGCAAGCCUGACGGCGCAACGCCGCGUGGAGGACGAAGAUCUUCGGGUCGUAAACUCCUUUCGAUCGGGACGAAUCGUCCGCGACCUAAUACGUCGCGGGACUGACGGUACCGAGAGAAGAAGCCCCGGCUAACUCCGUGCCAGCAGCCGCGGUAAUACAGAGGGUGCGAGCGUUAAUCGGAAUUACUGGGCGUAAAGCGCACGUAGUCGGCUCUGCAAGUCGGGUGUGAAAUCCCCGGGCUCAACCUGGGAACUGCAUUCGAGACUGCAUUGCUAGAGUAUGGGAGAGGGAAGCGGAAUUUCUGGCGUAGCAGUGAAAUGCGUAGAUAUCAGAAGGAACAUCAGUGGCGAAGGCGGCUUCCUGGACCAAUACUGACGAUCAGGUGCGAAAGCGUGGGGAGCAAAC